This 471-nucleotide ribosomal RNA is filed under the name uncultured bacterium. Its description in RNAcentral is "bacterial SSU rRNA". It matches the Rfam family "Bacterial small subunit ribosomal RNA", at positions 28 to 508 of the family's 1533-position model. The record is from RNAcentral.
GAUAAACUCUGGCGGUGUACAUAAGACAUGCAAGUCGAACGGGAGAAGACAGGAAGAUUUAUCUACUUGUUGGACACCGUGGCGGACGGGUGAGUAACACGUAAGCAACCUGCCUAUAAGAGGGGAAUAACAGUGAGAAAUUACUGAUAAUACCGCAUAAGCUGGAGGUAUCGCAUGAUACAUUCAGAAAAGAUUUAUCGCUUAUAGAUGGGCUUGCGUCUGAUUAGCUAGUUGGUGAGAUAACAGCUCACCAAGGCGACGAUCAGUAGCCGGAUUGAGAGGUUGAACGGCCACAUUGGGACUGAGACACGGCCCAGACUCCUACGGGAGGCAGCAGUCGGGAAUACAGCACAAUGGAGGAAACUCUGAUGCAGUGACACCGCGUGUAGGAAGAAGGUCUUAGGAUUGUAAGCUAUUGUCGUGUGAGAAGAAAAUGACCAUCACAGGAGGAAGCCCUGGCUAAAUAUGUGC